This 465-nucleotide ribosomal RNA is filed under the name uncultured bacterium. Its description in RNAcentral is "bacterial SSU rRNA". It matches the Rfam family "Bacterial small subunit ribosomal RNA", at positions 32 to 507 of the family's 1533-position model. The record is from RNAcentral.
AAUCAACGCUGGCGGCGUGCCUCAGACAUGCAAGUCGAACGAUUAAAGCUCUCUUCGGAGAGUGUAUAGAGUGGCGCACGGGUGAGUAACACGUAAGUAAUCUACCCUCGAGUGGGGAAUAACAACCGGAAACGGUUGCUAAUACCGCANAAUGCAGCGGCACCGCAAGGUGACAGUUGUUAAAGAUUUAUCGCUUGAGGAGGAGCCUGCGGCAGAUUAGCUAGUUGGUAGGGUAACGGCUUACCAAGGCUACGAUCUGUAACCGGUCUAAGAGGACGGUCGGUCACACUGACACUGAAUAACGGGUCAGACUCCUACGGGAGGCAGCAGUCGGGAAUUUUGGGCAAUGGGCGAAAGCCUGACCCAGCAACGCCGCGUGAAGGAUGAAGUAUUUCGGUAUGUAAACUUCGAAAGAAUAGGAAGAAUUAAUGACGGUACUAUUUAUAAGGUCCGGCUAACUACGUG